RNAcentral lists this long non-coding RNA (1880 nucleotides) under Citrus sinensis (sweet orange). Its description in RNAcentral is "long non-coding RNA (CSIN_LNC001369)". The record is from RNAcentral. Lineage: Eukaryota; Viridiplantae; Streptophyta; Magnoliopsida; Sapindales; Rutaceae.
UUCUCAUCUGGGUAUUGCUUAUUAUUGGAAUAUAGAAAUUUUAUUGGAUUGCUUGCUCAAUCCAUUAACUAAUAAAUUUUUUACUCUAUUUGUUCAUAAAGGAAACUUCAGGUUGUGUUACCAAAUUUGUUUGUUUUUUUUUUUUUAAUGGGGAAUAUUUUCAACCACAGUAGCUAUCAACACGUUUGGUUCCCUUUGGUCAUCUAUCAAUCAUCAUCUUAGAAAAAAGUCCACCACCACCAGCCACUACCAGCCGCCCCUUCAAAAGUAAACGCUCAUGAAAAUUCUUAUUUUUCAUAAUAAUGGUGGGUGAUGAUCAUAUAUAAUAAUAAUACCACUACCCCUUUUUAUAUAUAUUUACUGGCCAUUAUAAUAUCAACAACUCAACGUCACUCAAACACGCACUCUAUCUCUCUCUAUAUCCUCCCCGUGGUUGAGUCAAUGAGGGGUUUACUGGAAAAUGUACCUUGGACUUGUCUUCCCUUUUCAUCUCUCCAUCUGUUGUUAUUCCUCUUCCUAACAUGAUGAUGAUGGUGGAAAAACAACCGGGAUUGGGCUAUGUUGUUAUUGUUAUUGUUGGUGUUGUAUUUCCAUUCUUACUCUGUUCUCCUUGCUGGACUGCUGCAGCAGCUUGCAACCUGAAAGAUAGCAACGCUCUGUUGCUGCUGUACCGUACAUCCGCCUUGGCCGUACAGCAGUCUGGAAAAGUAUAUUACUUAAUGCUAUAAAUUAUUCUUUGCGCCUUUGACACCUAUUAUAGCAGUAUUGAAUAUAGACUGUCUGAAUUACAUGAGGCAUUAAGUUGUUUUCGGUUUGUUUUUUAAUUACAACUGAUAACACGAUUGUUUCUAAUCUCAUGAUAAGUGUUUCUUUUGUUCCAUGGCAGGGAACCAGAUUUGAGGCCAACAGCAUCUGAAUUGCUAAAGGUGAUUCAAUUUUGAUUGCCCUUAAUGCCAAGUUUGACAAAUUCCAAGGUGACAACUUUGUAGAGCCCACCAAAAAAAAAAAAAAAAAAACCUUCUUUUGAAGCACAAGAACAGUCAAUUCAAGAAGAAGAUGACAGGCUUCUUUUUGUCCUUUUUUUUCCUCAUUGCAUUACAUAUAAGCUCUUUGUAGAUAGUUCUCAUCUGGGUAUUGCUUAUUAUUGGAAUAUAGAAAUUUUAUUGGAUUGCUUGCUCAAUCCAUUAACUAAUAAAUUUUUUACUCUAUUUGUUCAUAAAGGAAACUUCAGGUUGUGUUACCAAAUUUGUUUGUUUUUUUUUUUUUAAUGGGGAAUAUUUUCAACCACAGUAGCUAUCAACACGUUUGGUUCCCUUUGGUCAUCUAUCAAUCAUCAUCUUAGAAAAAAGUCCACCACCACCAGCCACUACCAGCCGCCCCUUCAAAAGUAAACGCUCAUGAAAAUUCUUAUUUUUCAUAAUAAUGGUGGGUGAUGAUCAUAUAUAAUAAUAAUACCACUACCCCUUUUUAUAUAUAUUUACUGGCCAUUAUAAUAUCAACAACUCAACGUCACUCAAACACGCACUCUAUCUCUCUCUAUAUCCUCCCCGUGGUUGAGUCAAUGAGGGGUUUACUGGAAAAUGUACCUUGGACUUGUCUUCCCUUUUCAUCUCUCCAUCUGUUGUUAUUCCUCUUCCUAACAUGAUGAUGAUGGUGGAAAAACAACCGGGAUUGGGCUAUGUUGUUAUUGUUAUUGUUGGUGUUGUAUUUCCAUUCUUACUCUGUUCUCCUUGCUGGACUGCUGCAGCAGCUUGCAACCUGAAAGAUAGCAACGCUCUGUUGUCUUUCUACAACAAUAUCUCAUUUGUAUCGUUGAAUUGGUCUGCAUCUGUUGACUGCUGUUUAUGGGAUGGAGUUGAUUGUGAUUAUACUGAUGGUCG